RNAcentral lists this ribosomal RNA (432 nucleotides) under uncultured bacterium. RNAcentral's name for it is "partial 16S ribosomal RNA". It matches the Rfam family "Bacterial small subunit ribosomal RNA", at positions 29 to 506 of the family's 1533-position model. The record is from RNAcentral.
AACGAACGCUGGCGGCAUGCCUAACACAUGCAAGUCGAACGAGACCUUCGGGUCUAGUGGCGCACGGGUGCGUAACGCGUGGGAACCUGCCCUUAGGUUCGGAAUAACUCCCCGAAAGGGGUGCUAAUACCGGAUAAUCUCUUCGGACCAAAGAUUUAUCGCCUUUGGAUGGGCCCGCGUUGGAUUAGCUAGUUGGUAGGGUAAAAGCCUGCCAAGACGACGAUCCAGAGCUGGUCUGAGAGGAUGAUCAGCCACACUGGGACUGAGACACGGCCCAGACUCCUACGAGAGGCAGCAGUGGGGAAUAUAGGACAGUGGGCGAAAGCCUGAUCCAGCACUGCCGCGUGAGUGAUGAAGGCCUUAGAGUUGUAAAGCUCUUUUACCCGAGAUGAUAAUGACAGUACCGGGAGAAUAAGCUCCGGCUAACUCCGU